AUUGAACGCUGGCGGCAGGCCUAACACAUGCUAGUCGAACGGUAACAGGAAGAAGCUUGCUUCUUUGCUGACGAGUGGCGGACGGGUGAGUAAUGUCUGGGAAACUGCCUGAUGGAGGGGGAUAACUACUGGAAACGGUAGCUAAUACCGCAUAACGUCGCAAGACCAAAAAGGGGGACCUUCGGGCCUCUUGCCAUCGGAUGUGCCCAGAUGGGAUUAGCUAGUAGGUGGGGUAACGGCUCACCUAGGCGACGAUCCCUAGCUGGUCUGAGAGGAUGACCAGCCACACUGGAACUGAGACACGGUCCAGACUCCUACGGGAGGCAGCAGUGGGGAAUAUUGCACAAUGGGCGCAAGCCUGAUGCAGCCAUGCCGCGUGUAUGAAGAAGGCCUUCGGGUUGUAAAGUACUUUCAGCGGGGAGGAAGGGAGUAAAGUUAAUACCUUUGCUCAUUGACGUUACCCGCAGAAGAAGCACCGGCUAACUCCGUG
This 490-nucleotide ribosomal RNA is filed under the name uncultured bacterium. RNAcentral's name for it is "partial 16S ribosomal RNA". It matches the Rfam family "Bacterial small subunit ribosomal RNA", at positions 30 to 507 of the family's 1533-position model. The record is from RNAcentral.